AGCAGCCGCGGUAAUUCCAGCUCCAAUAGCGUAUAUUAAAGUUGUUGCAGUUAAAAAGCUCGUAGUUGAAUUUCGGGAUCAGUUGAUCGGUCGUGCCUCGGUACGUACUGGUCAAAUUGAUUCCUACCUUCUGACGAACCACGAUGUCAUUAAUUUGGUGUCGUGGGAAAUCAGGACUGUUACUUUGAAAAAAUUAGAGUGUUUAAAGCAGGCUCGCGCUUGAAUACAUUAGCAUGGAAUAAUGAAAUAGGACGUUUGAUUCUAUUUUGUUGGUUUCUAGGAUCGACGUAAUGAUUAAUAGGGAUAGUUGGGGGCAUUAGUAUUCAAUUGUCAGAGGUGAAAUUCUUGGAUUUAUUGAAGACUAACUACUGCGAAAGCAUUUGCCAAGGAUGUUUUCAUUAAUCAAGAACGAAAGUUAGGGGAUCGAAGACGAUCAGAUACCGUCGUAGUCUUAACCAUAAACUAUGCCGACUAGGGAUCGGAUGAUGUUAAUUUUUAAUGACUCAUUCGGCGCCUUAAC
This 520-nucleotide ribosomal RNA is filed under the name uncultured Glomus. Its description in RNAcentral is "SSU rRNA". It matches the Rfam family "Eukaryotic small subunit ribosomal RNA", at positions 569 to 1092 of the family's 1831-position model. The record is from RNAcentral. Lineage: Eukaryota; Fungi; Glomeromycota; Glomeromycetes; Glomerales; Glomeraceae.